This is a non-coding RNA of Tribolium castaneum (red flour beetle), 76 nucleotides long. RefSeq annotates it as microRNA mir-100. The record is from RefSeq and is marked provisional. The transcript has a single exon. Lineage: Eukaryota; Metazoa; Arthropoda; Insecta; Coleoptera; Tenebrionidae.
AUCCGGUGGAACCCGUAGAUCCGAACUUGUGGGGCUGUGGUCACAAGUUCUUGUUUAUGGGUACCUACUGGUAGAA